Equus caballus (horse) is the source of this 982-nucleotide long non-coding RNA. RefSeq lists it as uncharacterized. Lineage: Eukaryota; Metazoa; Chordata; Mammalia; Perissodactyla; Equidae. The record is from RefSeq and is a predicted model, not a curated record.
UGCCCUCGAGUCUCAUUUCUUGCCUUACCCGAGCUUGCCUUUCACUUAUAGACUGGACCUUUAGGAUAAUUAGAUUAAAAUCUGAAUUGCUUGUUGGCUUUUAAUAUGGUUGAGAAGAAAAACUAAGCCGUCCUGUCAAUGGCUACAUAUAGUCACCCCAGUUCAAGUUUAUUUGUUCAGACCAUCAGUUGGUCCUUAGUGGCUUUUUUUUCUUUUUUCUGAAGAAGAUUGGCCCUAAGCUAACAUCUGUGCCGGUUUCUCUAUUUUGUGUGUGGGAGGCGGCCACCGCGUAGCUUGAUGAGCAGUGCUAGGUCUGUACCUGGGAUCUGAACCCAGGCACCUGGCCGCAGAAGUGGAGCACAGGAACUUAACCCCUAUGCCAUGCAGGUCAUCACUUGAUAUCCGUCCAUCAUUCAUGCUUUAGUGUAAAUUUUAAUUGGCUUGACAUCCACUAACACUGUCUCAGACUGGACUGAUCUAAGCUAAAAGCAGAUUUCACUGAAAGAGUGAAUACAAAGCGUGUUUGUUUGCUGAAGGAUAAAGGAAGCAGCAAGGAAAAGGUAAUCUUGAAGUCAAAGCUGUGCCCAGGAGGAUAGGCGUGGGUGGACCACACAGUGGGACCUGCUGUGCAGCCAGAAGGAAGUGGUAAGGGCAUUGGGAAACUGAACAGAAAAGUAAGGGGCAGGGCGGCUGAAACAAAUUUCUCCUUGGCAGUUUUGCUAUGUGAAGAUCCCAUAGCCAGCCUCCUGCUGAAGACCGCUUAGCAAGUGGCUUUUUCCAAAAAGUAGGAUCAACCUGCCCCAUCAUGCUACUUCGAAAAGCCUGGAGUAACAGAACAAGGAGAGCAAAAUAAGAGGUUGCAUCAUACUAUAUCAGCUGUUCUUAAAGUGUGGCCUGAGACUAAAACCUUUUCAAUGGAUCAUGUAAUGCAGUCAAACUACUUUCAUAAUGAUAAUAACAUGAUUUGUCUUUAUCAUUCUCA